RNAcentral lists this ribosomal RNA (654 nucleotides) under Mortierella sp. 09CT01. Its description in RNAcentral is "eukaryotic LSU rRNA". The stretch from base 206 to 359 matches the Rfam family "5.8S ribosomal RNA". Lineage: Eukaryota; Fungi; Mortierellomycota; Mortierellomycetes; Mortierellales; Mortierellaceae. The record is from RNAcentral.
GGAAGUAAAAGUCGUAACAAGGUUUCCGUAGGUGAACCUGCGGAAGGAUCAUUCAUAAUAAGUGUUUUAUGGCACUUUUUAAAUCCAUAUCCACCUUGUGUGCAAUGUCAGGGUUGAGUUUCUUUCGAGAGACUCGACCCCAAACAUCAACUAUAAUCUCAACUCUUUGUCUGAAAAAUAUUAUGAAUAAAACAAUUCAAAAUACAACUUUCAACAACGGAUCUCUUGGCUCUCGCAUCGAUGAAGAACGCAGCGAAAUGCGAUACGUAAUGUGAAUUGCAGAAUUCAGUGAAUCAUCGAAUCUUUGAACGCAUAUKGCGCUCUUUGGUAUUCCGAAGAGCAUGCUUGUUUGAGUAUCAGUAAACACCUCAAAGCCUUUUUUUGUUAAGAGACUUUGGACUUGAGCAAUCCCAACACUUUAUUACUAAAGUGGCGGGUUGCUUGAAAUGCAGGUGCAGCUGGACAUUCUCCUGAGCUAAAAGCAUAUUCAUUUAGUCCCGUCAAACGGAUUAUUACUUUUGCUGCAGCUAAUAUAAAGGGAGUUUGACCAUUUUGGCUGACUGAUGCAGGAUUUUCACAAGAGUCUUCAAACCACUCUUGUUAAACUCGAUCUCAAAUCAAGUAAGACUACCCGCUGAACUUAAGCAUAUCAUA